This 66-nucleotide non-coding RNA is filed under the name Attheya septentrionalis. Lineage: Eukaryota; Bacillariophyta; Biddulphiophyceae; Attheyales; Attheyaceae. The record is from RNAcentral.
AAGAAAAAGAAAAAAAAGAAAAAAAACAAAAAAAACAAAAAGGAAAUUGUUCUGAAUGACUACAGU